UGCAGUCGAGCGCGGGAGCGAGCUGAUCCCUUCGGGGUGACGCUCGUGGAACGAGCGGCGGACGGGUGAGUAACACGUGGGCAACCUGCCUGUAAGAUCGGGAUAACUCCGGGAAACCGGGGCUAAUACCGGGUAAUACUUUCUUUCGCAUGAAGGAAAGUUGAAAGAUGGCUUCUCGCUAUCACUUACAGAUGGGCCCGCGGCGCAUUAGCUAGUUGGUGAGGUAACGGCUCACCAAGGCGACGAUGCGUAGCCGACCUGAGAGGGUGAUCGGCCACACUGGGACUGAGACACGGCCCAGACUCCUACGGGAGGCAGCAGUAGGGAAUCUUCCGCAAUGGACGAAAGUCUGACGGAGCAACGCCGCGUGAACGAUGAAGGUCUUCGGAUCGUAAAGUUCUGUUGUUAGGGAAGAACAAGUACCGUGCGAAUAGAGCGGUACCUUGACGGUACCUAACGAGGAAGCCCCGGCUAACUACGUGCCAGCAGCCGCGGUAAUACGUAGGGGGCAAGCGUUGUCCGGAAUUAUUGGGCGUAAAGCGCGCGCAGGCGGUUCCUUAAGUCUGAUGUGAAAGCCCACGGCUCAACCGUGGAGGGUCAUUGGAAACUGGGGAACUUGAGGACAGAAGAGGAGAGUGGAAUUCCACGUGUAGCGGUGAAAUGCGUAGAUAUGUGGAGGAACACCAGUGGCGAAGGCGACUCUCUGGUCUGUUUCUGACGCUGAGGUGCGAAAGCGUGGGUAGCAAACAGGAUUAGAUACCCUGGUAGUCCACGCCGUAAACGAUGAGUGCUAGGUGUUAGGGGGCUUCCACCCCUUAGUGCUGAAGUUAACGCAUUAAGCACUCCGCCUGGGGAGUACGGCCGCAAGGCUGAACUCAAGGAAUUGACGGGGGCCCGCACAAGCGGUGGA
Molecule: ribosomal RNA, 910 nt
Filed under: Halobacillus yeomjeoni
Lineage: Bacteria; Bacillati; Bacillota; Bacilli; Caryophanales; Bacillaceae
Description: bacterial SSU rRNA
Rfam family: Bacterial small subunit ribosomal RNA
Source: RNAcentral